UACGUAGGCAGCAAGCGUUGUUCGGAGUUACUGGGCGUAAAGGGCGUGUAGGCGGUCUUCUAAGUUUGGUGUGAAAUCUCCCGGCUCAACUGGGAGGGUGCGCCGAAAACUGGGAGGCUAGAGUGCGGGAUGGGAGAGUGGAAUUCCUGGUGUAGCGGUGAAAUGCGUAGAUAUCAGGAGGAACACCUGUGGUGUAGACGGCUCUCUGGACCGCAACUGACGCUGAGACACGAAAGCGUGGGUAGCAAACAGG
RNAcentral lists this ribosomal RNA (253 nucleotides) under uncultured bacterium. RNAcentral describes it as "partial 16S ribosomal RNA". It matches the Rfam family "Bacterial small subunit ribosomal RNA", at positions 524 to 776 of the family's 1533-position model. The record is from RNAcentral.